UUCGCAAUGCCCGAAAGGGUGACGAAGCGACGCCGCGUGCGGGAAGAAGGCCUUCGGGUUGUAAACCGCUGUCGGGAGUUAGGAAAUGCAAGGAUGUUAAUAGCGUCUUUGCUUGACUAAGGCUCCGGAGGAAGCCACGGCUAACUCUGUGCCAGCAGCCGCGGUAAUACAGAGGCGGCAAGCGUUGUUCGGAAUUAUUGGGCGUAAAGAGCACGUAGGCGGCUAUGUAAGUCGGUUGUGAAAGCCUUCCGCUCAACGGGAGAACAGCAUCCGAUACUGCAUGGCUUGAGUGCGGGAGGGGAGAGUGGAACUUCUGGUGGAGCGGUGAAAUGCGUAGAUAUCAGAAGGAACGCCGGCGGCGAAAGCGGCUCUCUGGCCCAUAACUGACGCUGAGUGUGCGGAAGCUAGGGGAGCAAACGGGAUUAGAUACCCCGGUAGUCCUAGCCGUAAACGAUGGGCACUAAGUAGAGGGGUUUU
This 477-nucleotide ribosomal RNA is filed under the name uncultured Planctomycetales bacterium. Its description in RNAcentral is "bacterial SSU rRNA". It matches the Rfam family "Bacterial small subunit ribosomal RNA", at positions 365 to 832 of the family's 1533-position model. The record is from RNAcentral. Lineage: Bacteria; Pseudomonadati; Planctomycetota; Planctomycetia; Planctomycetales.